Arachis duranensis is the source of this 844-nucleotide long non-coding RNA. RefSeq lists it as uncharacterized. The transcript has 3 exons. The record is from RefSeq and is a predicted model, not a curated record. Lineage: Eukaryota; Viridiplantae; Streptophyta; Magnoliopsida; Fabales; Fabaceae.
CUUGGGUUUUCUAAGUUUUUUAGGGUUUUUAGGAUUUUUAGGAUUUUUUAUUAGUUUUCUAGGAUUUUCUAGGGUUUUUUAGGGAUUUCUAGGGUUUUUAUGAUAUUCUAGGACUUUUAAGGGUUUUCUAGGUUUUUUGCAUUUCUUUUAGAGUUUUCUAGGGUUUUCUAGGAUUUUCUAUGGUUUUUUAGGGUUUUCUAAGAUUUUCUAGGGUUUUCUAGGGUUUUAGGAUUUUCUAUGGUUUUCUAUGGUUUUUAGGGAUUUCUUGGGUUUUUCAGGGUUUUUUUAUGGUUUUUUUGUUUUCCAGGUCUUUUUGGGUUUUAUAUGGUUUUAUUGGAUUUUCUAGGCUUUUCUAGGGGUUUUUAGGGUUUUCCAUGAUUUUUUAGGGUUUUUAGGCAUUUUAGGGUUUUCUAGGGAUUUUAGGGUUUUCUAGGGUUUUUAGAAUUUUUUAGGUUUUUUAGGGUUUUAUAUGGUUUUGUAGGGUUUCUUAGGGUUUUCUUAGGUUUUCUACGGUUUUCUAGGUUUUUUAGGAAUUUCCAGGGUUUUCUAGGAUUCUUUAGAGUUUUCAAGGUUUUCUAGAGUUUUCUAGGGUUUUUUAGGAUUUUCUAGGGUUUUUAGAGUUUUCUAGAAUUCUCUAAGGUUUUCUUGGAUUUUCUUGGGUUUUCUAAGUUUUUUAGGGUUUUUAGGAUUUUUAGGAUUUUUUUUGUUUUCUAGGAUUUUCUAGGAUUUUUUAGGGAUUUCUAGGGUUUUUAUGAUAUUCUAGGACUUUUAAGGGUUUUCUAGGUUUUUUGGAUUUCUUUUAUAGUUUUCUAGGGUUUUCUAGGAUUUUCUAGGGUUUUUUAGG